GAUGAACGCUGGCGGCGUGCCUAAUACAUGCAAGUCGAACGAAACUUCUUUAUCACCGAGUGCUUGCACUCACCGAUAAAGAGUUGAGUGGCGAACGGGUGAGUAACACGUGGGCAACCUGCCCAAAAGAGGGGGAUAACACUUGGAAACAGGUGCUAAUACCGCAUAACCAUAGUUACCGCAUGGUAACUAUGUAAAAGGUGGCUAUACUACCGCUUUUGGAUGGGCCCGCGGCGCAUUAGCUAGUUGGUAAGGUAAAGGCUUACCAAGGCAAUGAUGCGUAGCCGAAUUGAGAGGUUGAUCGGCCACAUUGGGACUGAGACACGGCCCAAACUCCUACGGGAGGCAGCAGUAGGGAAUCUUCCACAAUGGGCGAAAGCCUGAUGGAGCAACGCCGCGUGGGUGAAGAAGGUCUUCGGAUCGUAAAACCCUGUUGUUAGAGAAGAAAGUGCGUGAGAGUAACUGUUCACGUUUCGACGGUAUCUAACCAGAAAGCCACGGCUAACUACGUG
RNAcentral lists this ribosomal RNA (512 nucleotides) under uncultured bacterium. RNAcentral describes it as "partial 16S ribosomal RNA". It matches the Rfam family "Bacterial small subunit ribosomal RNA", at positions 28 to 507 of the family's 1533-position model. The record is from RNAcentral.